Molecule: long non-coding RNA, 774 nt
Organism: Coffea eugenioides
Lineage: Eukaryota; Viridiplantae; Streptophyta; Magnoliopsida; Gentianales; Rubiaceae
Exons: 2
Source: RefSeq, a predicted model, not a curated record
UCCCUCUCCGCUGCACCCCGCAACCAGUAACCCACAGCCGCACCCACAGCCCCGCAACGCCGCAGCUCCACAACCCGGCAGCCCCGCAACACCGCAACCCCGCAGCCCCGCAGCCCGCAACACCGUAACCCCGCAACCCACAGCCGCACCCACAGCCCCGCCACACUCCACAGCAAGCCGCACUCCACAGCCGCAACCCACAGCAACCUCUGCCUCCACCGCCGCCCACAGCCUCUGUUUUCUGCCAUUAACAACCCCGUCCACCGCCAGGGCCAAAACCAGUCCAAUUUGACUGGUUUCUCUAAUCCUUCGUGAUUUCUGGAACCACUCGAUGUUUCCGAAUCAUCUACAAUUGAAGAAAUUGAUCUUCCGGACAUUUGAAGGCUGUUUUCUGGAAUAUGUGAUGCUGUUUCUUGUGAUUUGUAAAGCUGGACUUGUGAAGCUGUACUUUUUCUUGUGAUUUCUGAAGGGGUUGUACUUUUUCUUGUCAGGUGUUUGAAGUUGGACAAUUUUUAAGCUAUGUAGCAGUGUUUUACAUGGUUAUUUGGCUGUAGUUUGUGCGUUUAUUUGGCUGGACAAAACCUGUUAUGGUAUAUUGGCUCUUAUGAAUGUUGUCUCGUAUGGAAUUAGACUGUAGUUUGUGUAUUUGUUGACUGCAGCCCCUGGAGUUUGUGUUGUAUGGAUCAUGGAUGUUAUGGUCUUAUUUGUCUUGGAUGAAAUAUGGUUAGAGUUUGUGUAUUGUUGAAUGUGAAUGGCAUUGGUUGCCAAUCCUAA